CGACUCGUCCAUGAGUCGCUCGGUAAUCAUUCUUGCAUGAAACGGGUUGGUGUAUUUCAAUUAGCAGAAAAAAUGCCUUUAAGACACAAGUUGGCCCCCGGCUGAUAUGAAGUCUAGAGACCCCAAGGAAGCAGAAUCACCAAAGAAAACACUUUAUGAUGAAAAUCAAGGUUCUAGUACUUGUACAUAGACCCGGCUCUCGGACUAAAAUUGGUAGGACCAAAAUAGGAACCGGGAAUUACUGAUAGUGAUUGUGUUAUUCCUCGUAUAACGUCAGCCAGCGAAGACAUCUUUUUUGUUACGACAUCAUGAAUCGUUCGUUACAGGAGUUGCUUCGACGUUUCUUGUGACGGAACAAAGAUCUUCAAUUUCAUCGUAGUUGGAGCUGACUUCUGUCAUACAAUCAGGACUGGCACUGGCUAUACUACCCUGUUUACUUCUAAAGUAGGGGUUGUUGAGCCAAAACUAAAAUUGGGCAUUUCCUCUCUACGAGAUGGAUUCAUCGGUGCUAAUUGUGAUUUGUGCCGUAGAUAUACUGUCUUCUGUAACUUAUGGCUGGGUGCUGAAAAACCAGUUCAACACAACACUGCGACAGGUGGAUGAUCAGUACUACUUCGUCGAACAGAAGAAAAUCUACUGUCGUUGGUGUGAAGAAGAUGAAGUCUGGGAGGGCAUAUGCGAAAAGAACGGAGAGCCUUCGAAGUGCAGUCUGGAUACAAAUUAUACGAAACCGCACCUCUCGACAUUUCCUAUAGUUCUGACGUCCUCACAGCCACCGCCGACUAGCUCACCCAGCUUCUUUGACAAGUGGUCCACUUCCUGGUCGUCUACUCUAUCACCAUCGUCCUCAAGACAAGAUCCCCCAAGUACACCCACACUCGGAGACGCACGUACCAAUUGCACCAACGUGGAAACAGAGAACUGUGUUGUAUGGGUUAUGCUUGUAAUCAUUAUUGUACUUGUUCUCUUGGUCUUGGGUUUAAUUGUGUAUUGCUGUAGACUGAAACAAAAAGUGAGGAAUCUAAUCACUAGACAAAAUAGGGCCGACACAUUGUUACAAGAAUUUGACGGACAGAAAAAAAAUGAAAGUCGGGGAAGUGGGGUGGUGGAAUUACUGAAAAAAAGAAACCCAACACUACGUUGAGUUUGACUUCUUUUGGGAGACAGUAAGAGAAUAGAAAUUACUUGUCUUAGAAGACCAACCCAGAGCAAUUAUAAGGGAAAGGCCGAGACUAUAAACUAAAUGUAUGAGUGACUUUCCAAGUGAAUGGAUAAAUAGAUAUUAUAGGAACGGUAAACAACUGAAGAAUAUGUGAUGCAAGCCUCACCAGCAAGUCAAAUAUUAUGUCUCCUAUUAUGUGCACGGGCCGCAGUCGUUAGCGAUUUGUCGAGAACUGUGUAUCCUUUUCAGCGACAGUAUCACACGGAGUGUUGACCGGCACUUCUUGGCGAGGUAUUUUAAUAAAUGGUGAUACUUUAAACCUGUCACACUCCCAAUCUGUAGUGCGUGAGAGGUCUCGAUCGUUGCAUGGACCGAUUGCAGGCGACGGUCGCUAGCGGCUAGACGUCGCGUCGCGUAUAAGGAGACGGGUUUUUAAAAAUAUUCUUACUUGAUUGAUUUUGGGGCGGCAAGGACCGCGCUCGACACGACUUCGUGUCGCGCAUAAGGAGACAUACUCUAAUGGUUUUGAGAUUUUGUUUAGACGUGCCAUCCAUGUAAAAAAAAAAAA
This 1730-nucleotide long non-coding RNA is filed under the name Aplysia californica (California sea hare). Its description in RNAcentral is "uncharacterized LOC101862658". The record is from RNAcentral. Lineage: Eukaryota; Metazoa; Mollusca; Gastropoda; Aplysiida; Aplysiidae.